CAGAAAAUAGUUUAGUUAAGAAUCC
This 25-nucleotide transfer RNA is filed under the name Neosilurus hyrtlii (Glencoe tandan). RNAcentral's name for it is "partial tRNA-Pro". Lineage: Eukaryota; Metazoa; Chordata; Actinopteri; Siluriformes; Plotosidae. The record is from RNAcentral.